UGGGGAAUAUUGGACAAUGGGCGAAAGCCUGAUCCAGCCAUGCCGCGUGUGUGAAGAAGGUCUUCGGAUUGUAAAGCACUUUAAGUUGGGAGGAAGGGCAGUAAGCGAAUACCUUGCUGUUUUGACGUUACCGACAGAAUAAGCACCGGCUAACUCUGUGCCAGCAGCCGCGGUAAUACAGAGGGUGCAAGCGUUAAUCGGAAUUACUGGGCGUAAAGCGCGCGUUGGUGGUUCGUUAAGUUGAAUGUGAAAGCCCCGGGCUCAACCUGGGAACUGCAUCCAAAACUGGCGAGCUAGAGUAGGGCAGAGGGUGGUGGAAUUUCCUGUGUAGCGGUGAAAUGCGUAGAUAUAGGAAGGAACACCAGUGGCGAAGGCGACCACCUGGGCUCAUACUGACACUGAGGUGCGAAAGCGUGGGGAGCAAACAGG
RNAcentral lists this ribosomal RNA (429 nucleotides) under Pseudomonadota bacterium. RNAcentral's name for it is "Proteobacteria bacterium partial 16S ribosomal RNA". It matches the Rfam family "Bacterial small subunit ribosomal RNA", at positions 355 to 776 of the family's 1533-position model. Lineage: Bacteria; Pseudomonadati; Pseudomonadota. The record is from RNAcentral.